Molecule: ribosomal RNA, 478 nt
Filed under: Pseudomonas sp. CL4.52
Lineage: Bacteria; Pseudomonadati; Pseudomonadota; Gammaproteobacteria; Pseudomonadales; Pseudomonadaceae
Description: bacterial SSU rRNA
Rfam family: Bacterial small subunit ribosomal RNA
Source: RNAcentral
CCUGGCUCAGAUUGAACGCUGGCGGCAGGCCUAACACAUGCAAGUCGAGCGGAUGAAGAGAGCUUGCUCUCUGAUUCAGCGGCGGACGGGUGAGUAAUGCCUAGGAAUCUGCCUGGUAGUGGGGGACAACGUCUCGAAAGGGACGCUAAUACCGCAUACGUCCUACGGGAGAAAGCAGGGGACCUUCGGGCCUUGCGCUAUCAGAUGAGCCUAGGUCGGAUUAGCUAGUUGGUGAGGUAAUGGCUCACCAAGGCGACGAUCCGUAACUGGUCUGAGAGGAUGAUCAGUCACACUGGAACUGAGACACGGUCCAGACUCCUACGGGAGGCAGCAGUGGGGAAUAUUGGACAAUGGGCGAAAGCCUGAUCCAGCCAUGCCGCGUGUGUGAAGAAGGUCUUCGGAUUGUAAAGCACUUUAAGUUGGGAGGAAGGGCAGUAACUUAAUACGUUGCUGUUUUGACGUUACCGACAGAAUAAGC